This 372-nucleotide unclassified non-coding RNA is filed under the name uncultured Gammaproteobacteria bacterium. RNAcentral describes it as "contains 16S-23S intergenic spacer region". Lineage: Bacteria; Pseudomonadati; Pseudomonadota; Gammaproteobacteria. The record is from RNAcentral.
CCCGGUUUGUCACCGGCAGUCUCAUUAGAGUGCCCUUGCGUAGCAACUAAUGAUAAGGGUUGCGCUCGUUGCGGGACUUAACCCAACAUCUCACGACACGUGCUGACGACGGCCAUGCAGCACCUGUGUUCUGGUUCUCUUUCGAGCACUCCCAUAUCUCUACGGGAUUCCAGACAUGUCAAGGGUAGGUAAGGUUUUUCGCGUUGCAUCGAAUUAAACCACAUCAUCCACCGCUUGUGUGGGCCCCCGUCAAUUCCUUUGAGUUUUAAUCUUGCGACCGUACUCCCCAGGCGGGAAGCUUAAUGCGUUAGCUGCGCCACCGAUAAGUAAACUUACCGACGGCUAGCAUUCAUCGUUUACGGCGUGGACUAC